This 478-nucleotide ribosomal RNA is filed under the name uncultured Desulfotomaculum sp. RNAcentral's name for it is "bacterial SSU rRNA". It matches the Rfam family "Bacterial small subunit ribosomal RNA", at positions 907 to 1382 of the family's 1533-position model. Lineage: Bacteria; Bacillati; Bacillota; Clostridia; Eubacteriales; Desulfotomaculaceae. The record is from RNAcentral.
UAGAAUUGACGGGGCCGCACAAGCGGUGGAGCAUGUGGUUAAUUCGACGCAACGCGAAGAACCUUACCAGGGCUUGACAUCCCCUGACCGUCUAUGAAAGUAGGCUUUCUACCUUCGGGUAGACAGGGAGACAGGUGGUGCAUGGUUGUCGUCAGCUCGUGUCGCGAGAUGUUGGGUUAAGUCCCGCAACGAGCGCAACCCUUACGGUUAGUUGCCAGCGGGUUAUGCCGGGCACUCUAGCUGAACUGCCGUUGACAAAACGGAGGAAGGUGGGAUGACGUCAAAUCAUCAUGCCCUUUAUGUCCUGGGCUACACACGUGCUACAAUGGCCUGUACAGAGGGAAGCGAAAGGGUGACCUGGAGCGAAUCCCAAAAAGCAGGUCUCAGUUCGGAUUGCAGGCUGCAACCCGCCUGCAUGAAGUCGGAAUCGCUAGUAAUCGCAGGUCAGCAUACUGUGGUGAAUACGUUCCCGGGCCUU